This is a non-coding RNA of Pelodiscus sinensis (Chinese soft-shelled turtle), 364 nucleotides long. The record is from RefSeq and is a predicted model, not a curated record. NCBI's taxonomy places the organism in Eukaryota, Metazoa, Chordata, Testudines, Trionychidae.
GCCGAACGAUCCUGACUGUUAAUGGAAUGCGGCUCUAUUGCACUUCGGCAGUGAUGGGUAACCCAACAUGAGAUCCUGAGUGGCAUGGCGGAAGAAAUAACCUUGGUUCCAAAGGAGCCAGCUGGCUUUUAGCUCAGACAAUAGAGACUCGUAUGUCCAUCAGCAAAAGACUGCUCUAGAAAGACCUUUACCAAGUUUUGCUAACCACCAACACUGCUGUGAAGUGCCAAGAACUGACUGUUGGCCAAUGCUUCUCACUACAAAAAGAUCCCUCCAUCUCGAAAUGAUCCUACCCCAAUUGCUGAUAAGCCUCUCUCUUCUGGUCCUGCUUUCCCACCUGCUGGACACCAGAAGAACCAAAAUA